UGGCAAGAGAGGUAGGAAGAUAGAAGGCAUU
RNAcentral lists this non-coding RNA (31 nucleotides) under Homo sapiens (human). The record is from RNAcentral. Lineage: Eukaryota; Metazoa; Chordata; Mammalia; Primates; Hominidae.